AUUCACAGCAGACAGGUCACAGAAGAUGAGGUACAUGUGACCCUCAAAGGGAGAAAACCUCCUCAUUAUAAUCAAAUACUAAAUUAAUAAAACAUCUUUUCCCCACACAUUGAAUUGGCAUAAUCUGCUGUUCUAUUGGGUCUAAGGUAACACUCAGUUCCCUGCAGCCUGACACUCAUGACCUUUCCAUAGAGCAACCUGCUAAUUCAUCCUACAAGAUUAUAAACAUUCUAAUAUAGACUAUGCACAAAUAUUUACCUAUAAAAUGCUCCUCACACUAUUGUUUAUUAAAGCAAAAAAAAAGUUAGGCGUUAUCUAAAUAUUUAACAAUAGUGGUUUGACUAAAAGAAAAAGUUAGGAAUUAUCUGAAUAUUUAGCAAUAGAGGUUUGGAGUUCCUGUUGUGGCUCAGUGGUAACAAGCCUGACUAGUAUCCAUGAGGAUGCAGGUGUGAUCCCUGGCCUCGCUCAGUGGGUUAAGGACCCAACAUAAGUGAGCUGUGGUGUAGGGUGAAGAUGUGGCUCAUAUCCCAAGUUGCUGUGGCUGUGGUGUAGGCCAGCGGCUAUAGCUCUGACUGGACCCCAAGCCUGGGAACUUCCACAUGCCGUGAGUUCAGCCCUAAAAAAAGACCAAAAAACAAAAACAACAAAAACAGUAGAGGCUUGACUAAAAAUAACAAGUACAAUGAAAAGACCUUCAGACCUAUGUAUCAAGUUGAAAACCACCUUUCUGUUGUCAUGUAAAGAUGAUUAGGAGUUCCCGUCGUGGCGCAGUGGUUAACGAAUCCGACUAGGAACCAUGAGGUUGUGGGUUCGAUCCCUGCCCUUGCUCAGUGGGUUAACGAUCCGGCGUUGCCGUGAGCUGUGGUGUAGGUUGCAGACCGGCUCGGAUUCUGAGUUGCUGUGGCUCUGGCGUAGGCCGGUGGCUGCAGCUCCGAUUCAACCCCUAGCCUGGGAACCUCCAUAUGCCGCGGGAGCGGCCCAAGAAAUAGCAACAAUAACAACAAAAGCAAAAAAGACAAAAAGAAAAAAAAAAAUAAAAAUAAAAAAAAAUAAAGAUGAUUAGGACAGCCAAUAUUGGGAAAAGGAACUUCCGAAACCUCAAUUAAGAUGCAGAAAAAUAUAAUGUGUGCUAACAAUGACUGACUAUGCGUGGUGGAAUUAUAAAUUUUUUAUUGUUCUGCUUCAAAGCAUUUUCUAAUUUUUCUGUAGUGCAUAAGCAUUGCUUCUAUAUUAAGAAAGGCAAUAAACAAUUUUGACUUUGAAGACGUCAGGACAUAGUCCCAGAAUCAAAUGCAUGUCUGAACUCGGAUCCUUCUUUCAUCCCACUAAUAUUUAUAGAGAGCUUAUAUAUGCCAGAUUCUGCUGGUGCUGAAAAUAAAAACAUGCAUGCUAGCUCUUAACUCCUGGCUUAGCACUUGUCUUACUAUUAACACAAUUAUUAGUACUGGCACUUAGUCAAGAACAGUAUUGGUUUCAUUAAGGGAGUGAGUAUAGUUACAUAAACAAGUCAUCAAGCACAGGGUGAUAUAGGAGGGAUCACUAACCCAGACUUCAGGGGCAGAGAAGGGAGGGCUUCCUGGAAGAAGGGGUACUUAACAGUUUAAGUCAAGGGGGCUGCUAAGGACAAAGAAGGGGCCAUGUUGCUGGCAGAAGGAAUAGCACAGGCAGAGAAUUCACCAGGAGUACAAAGAACCCAAGUUCACUUAGCUUGGAUGCUGCAGUGUUAGGUGGGGAAGGAGUGGGAGAGAGGGCAGGGAUCAGCUGGCAUCAGAAGCAGGAGGCCUUGUAAGCCAUGGUGAGGGCUCUGAACUUGACUCUCAGCUCUUGCAUGAGAUUUGCUCUGUGAAAAUGAGGCCAGUGGGACUGGAGUCAUGGGGCCCGAUCUUCCCUCAGCUCCAUGAUUGGUGGGUCACCUGCUAUUAUUUCUCACCUGCAGGUAUUGGGUCCUUGAGAGGUGAGAGUCUUUGUCAGGUCAAGAUACUGCUGUUCAUUUCUCAUAAGCCUUCUAACUUUCUGAAAUCUCAGUGUUUUGGCUAAAUUCAGGUAAUACUCCCCUCAAUCCCGUUUCAUUCAGUAUGAUUACACUAAAACUCUCCCCACCUUUCUGAAGAGCCAUCAUGUUGCUAUUCAGCCUGGGGAAUAGCAACACUUCACUAAAAGCUGCAUGCUCCUUGCCCCACCUGCACAGUUCUGUACCCCGUCCCUGGGGUGCUCAGGUUUGUUCCUUUUGUAGUUUUCAAGCAACUUUACACUCUGGCUAAGGCUGCUUGACCCAUAGCCAAACCUCUCCCCUUUGCAGAAAGCUUUGACAAACAUGGCAAGGCAGCUUUGCCACAAGGAGACCACAGAAAUCCACAGCAAAAAGAAUUUAAAGUUCAGCGGAGAGAAAUAAACUUAAUCCAGAUUACUUGCCACUUCUGCUAAAAUACACGUAUCAGAGGGAUAGAAAAUGUGAGGUGGAUUCAUAUGCCCCUAAACAGCCAUUGAUGGAAUCAUUUCUCAGCACACACCACAGCCUCAGUUGUCCCCUAGGUGGCCUCCCUAUGACUUGCAGUGGUGUCCCUGGCUGCCUCUGAAAGUCAUAGCUGGACAAAAUGUAGCUCUGAGAGCACUUCCCAGCAUUGCCAUCACGUCUGCACUCAGCAGAAAACCACGAAUAUAGCUUCGGACACCUCAGCACUGCAGGGGCUCCUCUCCUGGGACACAGAUGCAGUGACUCAAAGCCAUGGCUGGAGCAGUCAGCCCUGUGGAAUAUGCUUUGCUAUCUUACUCAUUUCAAAUUCCCUUUCAAAUCCACAGGGAAAGUAUGUUACGCCUUACUAACCUCAGACUUCAAGAUCUUGGCUUGAGUGUGAUCAGAUUAGGUGAGCAACUUUGCUGUGCUCUGAAGUUCCUUCCAUCUAAAAAUGAAAUCCUCCAAAAGGGCGAGAAAAGAAAAUUGUACUUGGAGGAGUUCCUGUUGUGGCUCAGCAUGUUAAGAACCCAACUAACAUCUCUGAGGAUGCCGGUUCAAUUCCUGGCCUCGCUCAUUGUGUUAAAGUAUCCAGUGUUGCCAUGAGCUGUGGAAAUAGGUCAAAUUCACAGCUCAGAUCUGGUGUUGCUGUGGCUAAGGUAUAGGCCUGCAGCUGUAUCUCUGAUUUGACCCCUAGCCCGGGAAUUUCCAUAUGCUACAGGUGC
This 3177-nucleotide long non-coding RNA is filed under the name Sus scrofa (pig). RNAcentral's name for it is "lncRNA (ENSSSCG00015046353.1)". Lineage: Eukaryota; Metazoa; Chordata; Mammalia; Artiodactyla; Suidae. The record is from RNAcentral.